GCAAGUUCCCACUUUUCUACAUCCUCACCAAUUCUGGGCCAUGAAACCCAACAUUAAGAAAGUAACAAAAAUGGACCCAGCCAGGAACUCUCUGGAGACAGAACAGGUGCUUAGUGCUGAGGCCGUCCACCUUGCUGUACACCCAGAACUCCCCUCCUGCUUCUCCUGAGGGCAUGUGGAGAGAUUUACCCGCAGUACCAGCCUCAUGGAGAUGAGACUAUCCAGGCCCGAGUGGUCCAGCUGAAAGCGCUGCUCCAGGGUGAGGUCAGCAGAGGGGAGGAUCUGGCAGAGGGGAAGCUCCAACACUCCCAGAGCAUACUCCUGGUUGUCAUCAAGCACCUGGAGAGUGGGCCAAUCACAAAAUAAGAGGAGAACUAAGCUCUUCUGCCCCUAUCCCUACUAUCUAGAUCCCAACUGAGUCUAGGUCAGUCAGUCAGUAUGCACUGUGCUGCUACUGGCAUCUGGUCCUGUUCUGGGAACUGGGAAGGAAAAAUGAACCAGACCAGACCUGGUCCCUGCCCUAAAUCUGGUGAUGAGGGUUCCAGGCAAUUAUGAUCUGUCUCAGGCCAGUGUAUUAAAUGUCCAGGGGCAUGGAGGCUCUAGGAUAGAAGAGCUGUGCUGCUCCAAGAUGGGACAUCCAGACAGGGCUUCUGGCCCCAACAUGGAAGGCAUGAAGAGAGUCUCAGAAGAUCCCAGUGCCACCAUGUUAGUCAGGAGAUGUUGGACAAGUUAUUGUUCGAGCUUCUCUUUGCUAAUGUAUAAAAUAGAAAAUAGUGUAAAAUAGAAAAUAGCUGUCUUCUACAGAUCUUCUGUGAGGAUCAAAUGAAAUUUAUUUUUUUUAAUAAAGUACAUCAUCUUCACUGCCUGGGUAGAUUCCAGCAUAGGAAUGUUAUGAAACAACUGGAAAGGCCCUUUUGCAGGGAGAGAGCUUCCUACCCAAUGACCUUGGGCCCUAAUCUCAUGGAGGUGUAGCCUUGUAGGAUCUCGGUAUCCCCUCCUGCACACGGGCUGACCUUAGGUACUGUCAAGAGAGCCUGGUCAAAGUGCAGUUGAAGCUUCCCACUCCCCUGGGCCCAGAUACCCCUGAACUUUGUUCCAAGAACCCAACCUAAAGCAGACCUUCAGAUGGAGCUGUUCAGCUGCCACAUUGUGUAAAAAGAAGGAGAACACCUGGUUCCAUACAGGGUCCUUGCUGUGGGGACAGAUCUGGGGAAAGAGGAAUUAGAGAUCACCAAAGGGUCGGGUUGGGCAAAGUUGGAUACUGGCACCCUCUGUUCUCACCCUGGCCACUACAGACACCAUUGGGAGCCUUCUCUGUGGCUGCCCAAAAAUCAGAACCACACACACUGCUGCCCAUGGGAGACCUAGGGCCAGGCAGCCAGACUCAAGGCAAGGAAUGCUUUGCUAGGAAGCUCUACAAGGACAAAAAUCACAUUAGCAUUAGAGUUCAGUUUUAGGAUUCGGGGGCGGGGAGCAACAGGAUUUCUCCUGCUGGACUGAGAAACUUCAUGGCAUGGUGGGAAGGACACAGGUUUGAGAGCCAGGCCUGGGCUUAAACCCUAGCUCUACUGCUUUCUAGCAUAUGACCUUAGGCAAGUCACUUAUCUAAUUGAUCCUCAGAUUCUUGAACUGUAAAACUUUGGUGAGGUUAUGCAAGGACCAAAUAAUAUAAAGUGGCACCUACUAGGCUUUCAAUGCAAACUAAUUUCCUUUCCUUUCUCUCCCCAAGUCUACACACCUCAGCUAUCUUACCUUGCUUGUAUGUGUCUUCUUGCCUACAGACAGCCUGACAUAGGAAGAAGGGUCUCUGCUGACCUUAUUCUAUGAGAAGGAAAAAUCCACAACAAUGAAGGUGGCACCAUCAGUAUUAGCUUGAGACAUUCACCCACACACAUCCCAGAGACCUGGGGCCAGCCAAUAGUUUCCAUUUGAGAAAAGGCUGCCAUGAUGUUCCUCAGCCCGCUUGGCUGCCAUCACUGUUCAAAUACCAAGACAGGGUUGACCCCAGGGGGAGAUUCCAUUAAAUACCAGAGGCCGGCACUGGGCCUCAAUGGGCUCUUGUUCUCUGGGGCCCAGAGCACGCACUAUUGAACCAGACAGGGAAGAGUCAAAUACUGGCUCCUUCUCUUGGGUGAAUGAUCCAGGCCCUUAACCUUCUGGCUCCUAUUUGUAAAAUGGCAAUAAAAACUACUGACAGUCAUCAUGAAAGUCAGGGAUAACAAAUGGGGGGCGAGCUGCCAAGCCCAGUGCCUAGCACACAGUAGACAAUGAACAGCAACUCUUGUUAUCCUCGGGCUAUGUGCACAGACCAUGGCCCAGAAAAAUGGGGCUGUGGUUUCUCUAGGGAGAAGAUGCCAUGACUUGCCUUCAGUUAAGUUUUCAGCCAUACACACUUACCUUGGCAAACCUGGAGAGUUUUUUGGCUCGAUAUUCACCAUUCAGGUAGUCAAAGGGGCUUCUCUGUAGCACAAGAAUAAUGACUAAAUGAGCAUUUGAAAGUGAAGCGCAUGAGGCAGGGUCUGUGUGACACUCUGGCCAUGUCACCACUCACCGGCAGGUUGCAGGCGCUCUCCAGGAAGACCACAAGGAUGGCAGUGGAGAGGCUGCCAUGCUCCUGCAAGAAGAUACAGACCAACACUGGGUGCCUCCAGCAGCAGGAGAGACAUACCAGUUUUGGAGAAGCCUUCUGUGGCAGAAGGAAGCCAGCCAGCCCUAAGACUAGCCAUAAGACCUCACAAUCUAGUUACAGCAUGACAGAUUGAAGUUAGACCAAAAAAUGGAUUUCCCCAAUGAUCUGGACUGACAGGCAUUAACAGAGCUUGAAGGAUCCCAUCUUCCCUGAAGAUGGCUGAGAUGCUCAGGGGCUGUCUAUUAAGUCAGGGGCUGGAUGACAUGUUCUCCAGAAGACGGUGCUGCCAAGGACUCUAUGAGCAAGACCUGCAGGGGAGGUGGCCCCUCUCUAUCAGUUCACAGCCUAUACCUGGGCCAGCUCUGCCUCUACGGGUCCCUGACACCCCACACUCACCUCAGCCAGGGUUUUCUGGUCAGUGAUCAGUGAAAGCCACUCCAGCCGCAGGUGCAGCCGCCCACUGGUAGUGUCACUCAGAA
Molecule: long non-coding RNA, 3108 nt
Organism: Choloepus didactylus (southern two-toed sloth)
Lineage: Eukaryota; Metazoa; Chordata; Mammalia; Pilosa; Megalonychidae
Exons: 3
Source: RefSeq, a predicted model, not a curated record